RNAcentral lists this ribosomal RNA (800 nucleotides) under uncultured bacterium. RNAcentral describes it as "bacterial SSU rRNA". It matches the Rfam family "Bacterial small subunit ribosomal RNA", at positions 105 to 895 of the family's 1533-position model. The record is from RNAcentral.
GGUGAGUAACGCGUUGGUGACCUGCCCCAAAGUGUGGGAUAACAGUCCGAAAGGAUUGCUAAUACCUCAUGUGGCCAUCGGGUUUAGAAACCGAUGUCUAAAGCAGCAAUGCGCUUUGGGAGGGACCUGCGUCCCAUCAGCUAGUUGGUGAGGUAACGGCUCACCAAGGCGACGACGGGUAGGGGGCCUGAGAGGGUGGCCCCCCACAAUGGAACUGAAACACGGUCCAUACACCUACGGGUGGCAGCAGUAGGGAAUAUUGCACAAUGGGCGAAAGCCUGAUGCAGCAACGCCGCGUGAGCGAUGAGGCCUUCGGUCUAAGCUCUUUUUGGUGAGAGAAAGGAGAGAAGGCGCAAGUAUGCCAGGAAUAAAAAGUCUCGGCUAACUUACGUGCCAGCAGCCGCGGUAACACGUAGGACGCAAGCGUUAUCCGACAUUCACUGGGCGUAAAGCGCGUGCAGGUGGUUUGGUAAGUUGGGCGUGAAAUCUCCCGGCUCAACUGGGAGGGGCUCGUUCAAAACUACCAGACUCGAGAGCGAUAGAGGAAAAUGGAAUUCCCGGUGUAGUGGUGAAAUGCGUAGAUAUCGGAAGGAACACCGGGUGGGCGAAAGCGAUUUUCUGCAUCGUAUCUGACGCUCAGACGGCGGAAGCCUAGGCUAGCAAAACGUGGAUUAGAAGACCCCCGGUAGUCCUAGCUAGUAAACGAUGGUGGACUUAGGACGUUGGUUGUCUUAAACUCCAUCAGUGCCCGGAGCUAACGCGAAUAGUUCACCGGCUUGGGGUACUACGGCUGCAGGGUU